RNAcentral lists this long non-coding RNA (332 nucleotides) under Homo sapiens (human). RNAcentral's name for it is "non-protein coding lnc-RBMY1F-3:1". The record is from RNAcentral. Lineage: Eukaryota; Metazoa; Chordata; Mammalia; Primates; Hominidae.
AUGGAUGAAGAGUAGAAAAUCUACAGUGGUUUUGAAAGCCCUCAUGCCACGAUGUCAAAUGGAUAUCUUCAGAGUCAUAAAUUAAUGAUAAAAAGAGAACAUGCAUGAACAUCAGCAACAGUGAAAGCCAGGGAGAGUGGCCCAGGUCAUUUUGCUGAGAAGAAAUGCAUUGAGUUUAAUUUGAGAGACGUCCCUUCACAAGUGCUGCUAAAGGCAUACACAUAUUUUACCUAAAUGUUUCACUGCGCCUACAGUUCCACAGAAAUUCCUAAAUUCCCAUUUCACCUGAAACUGCAGUAGAACUGUUGAUGGCUGUGAACUUUCUAUAUUGU